This is a long non-coding RNA of Polistes canadensis, 583 nucleotides long. RefSeq lists it as uncharacterized. The record is from RefSeq and is a predicted model, not a curated record. The transcript is spliced from 2 exons. Lineage: Eukaryota; Metazoa; Arthropoda; Insecta; Hymenoptera; Vespidae.
GUCAGACACAUAUGUGAAUUUGGUGUUAAAAAUGGGAAUAAAUAAUUUAAUCGUUAAAAAGGAAAAGAAAGUAAACGUCGAGGAAUGGGAUUUUCUUAAGACACCUGUUAGAAACUGAUGCGACUAACAAAACACGUGAGUCGACUCUUACUUAUCCACCUCUUUUGCUACUCUUUAAACUCAAGGAGAAACUCUUGUAAGUAGUAUACUAGCAUAGUAGUUGAAUUUUUUGUUGUUGUCCGACUAGUUUCUAAUCCCAAAAAAGGGAAAGAAAAGAAGAUGAAAAUCGAAGAAAAGAAGCGAUAAAGUUUAAUCAGACUACGGGAGUACUUAUAUUUACGGAUUUAUUUUGUAGUUCAUCGAUGAAUCACGGGCCGUCUUUUCGAUCUUUCUUAUCGUAGUAGGGUUUCUCAUUGAAAAGAAUUUCUUUCAAUAAGGAAUAGAAAAGAUCGUUGAAUUCAGAUAUUUCUCGUAUACGUUAGUAUGAAUCCUAGAAAACUAACGGGUACCGUGUCCUUUCUUUUUUUAUUUAUCGUUUUUGAAUAUAGAAUUUUUAUAAUAUAACGUUGGCGAUAGAUCUAAU